RNAcentral lists this ribosomal RNA (505 nucleotides) under uncultured bacterium. RNAcentral's name for it is "partial 16S ribosomal RNA". It matches the Rfam family "Bacterial small subunit ribosomal RNA", at positions 28 to 507 of the family's 1533-position model. The record is from RNAcentral.
GACGAACGCUGGCGGCGUGCCUAAUACAUGCAAGUAGAACGCACAGUUUAUACCGUAGCUUGCUACACCAUAAACUGUGAGUUGCGAACGGGUGAGUAACGCGUAGGUAACCUGCCUGGUAGCGGGGGAUAACUAUUGGAAACGAUAGCUAAUACCGCAUAAUAUUGAUUAUUGCAUGAUAAUUGAUUGAAAGAUGCUAUUGCAUCACUACCAGAUGGACCUGCGUUGUAUUAGCUAGUAGGUGAGGUAACGGCUCACCUAGGCGACGAUACAUAGCCGACCUGAGAGGGGGAUCGGCCACACUGGGACUGAGACACGGCCCAGACUCCUACGGGAGGAAGCAGUAGGGAAUCUUCGGCAAGGGACGAAAGUCUGACCGAGAAACGCCGCGUGAGGGAAGAAGGUUUUCGGAUCGUAAAGCUCGGUUGUAAGAGAAGAACGGGUGUGAGAGUGGAAAGUUCACACUGUGACGGUAGCUUACCAGAAAGAGACGGCUAACUACGUG